CCUACGGGAGGCAGCAGUAGGGAAUCUUCCACAAUGGGCGAAAGCCUGAUGGAGCAACGCCGCGUGGGUGAAGAAGGUCUUCGGAUCGUAAAACCCUGUUGUUAGAGAAGAAAGUGCGUGAGAGUAACUGUUCACGUUUCGACGGUAUCUAACCAGAAAGCCACGGCUAACUACGUGCCAGCAGCCGCGGUAAUACGUAGGUGGCAAGCGUUAUCCGGAUUUAUUGGGCUUAAAGAGAACGCAGGCGGUCUUUUAAGUCUGAUGUGAAAUCCUUCGGCUUAACCGGGGUAGUGCAUUGGAAACUG
This 305-nucleotide ribosomal RNA is filed under the name uncultured bacterium. RNAcentral's name for it is "bacterial SSU rRNA". It matches the Rfam family "Bacterial small subunit ribosomal RNA", at positions 338 to 635 of the family's 1533-position model. The record is from RNAcentral.